AGAGUUUGAUCAUGGCUCAGAAUCAACGCUGGCGGCGCGCCUAACACAUGCAAGUCGAACGAGAAAGCAGGAGCAAUCUUGUGAGUAAAGUGGCGUACGGGUGAGUAACACGUGGAUCAUCUACCCUCUUGUGGGGGAUAACCCUGGGAAACCGGGGCUAAUACCGCAUAAGCUCGAGAGAGGAAAGCAGCAAUGCGCAGGAGGAGGAGUCCGCGGCCGAUUAGCUAGUUGGUAGGGUAAAAGCCUACCAAGGCAACGAUCGGUAGCCGGCCUGAGAGGGCACACGGCCACACUGGCACUGAAACACGGGCCAGACUCCUACGGGAGGCAGCAGUGGGGAAUCUUGCACAAUGGGGGCAACCCUGAUGCAGCGACGCCGCGUGAGCGAUGAAGCCCUUCGGGGUGUAAAGCUCUUUCGGCAGGGAAGAUUAUGACGGUACCUGCAGAAGCAGCUGCGGCUAACUACGUGCCAGCAGCCGCGGUA
Molecule: ribosomal RNA, 484 nt
Filed under: uncultured Acidobacteriota bacterium
Lineage: Bacteria; Pseudomonadati; Acidobacteriota
Description: bacterial SSU rRNA
Rfam family: Bacterial small subunit ribosomal RNA
Source: RNAcentral